GGGCGACGAGGUUAUGAACCUUGUUCUUGGAAUAGAAGCUUCAAAACACAGGAAAUAUCAGAAGUGACAUCUUAUACAUUGCAAGAACUGAGGCAAGCAAAUUGUCCAAGCAGACUAAUAAAAGGGAAUCCAAUCAAACCAGUUCUAUGCCUGCUUCUCGGACUGAAUCGAUAACUGCUUUGACCUUUCCAUGGUAUCUUUGUUCUUUCUUAAAGAAAACAGAUACAGCAGGAACUCCUUUAGCCUGCAACCGCUCUCCCAACAACUUACCUAUUUUUGCUGCAGCAGCAACGUCUCUAGUAUUUUCUUUUGAUUCUACCAUGGCAAGCCUUAAGCCUUUCUCUUGUGAGCUUGCAGAAGCAGCCACUGUUGCUGUUGGCGUGUGAACUACUUGAGCAUUUACAUACUUGUUUGUGAAAUGCAUCCUCAGCACGUAAGGUUUGAGAUACUUCAGCACUCUGUCUGGUCUAACUGGUGGAGGAAUCACCAUUUCUUUAAUAAUGAGAGAAUGGAAUCUCCGUCGCCGGUCGCCGGUCGCCGCUAGUUGCUGGUGGUGGUGCUCAGCCUCAGUCUCUCUCACUCAGAAGU
RNAcentral lists this unclassified non-coding RNA (588 nucleotides) under Hevea brasiliensis (rubber tree). The record is from RNAcentral. Lineage: Eukaryota; Viridiplantae; Streptophyta; Magnoliopsida; Malpighiales; Euphorbiaceae.